AACGCACAUUGCGCCCACUGGUAUUCCGGCGGGCAUGCCUGUCCGAGCGUUAUUAUAACCCUUCAAGCUCUGCUUGGCCUUGGGAUCUGCUCUAAUAGCAGCCCUUAAAAUCAUCGGCAGUGUUAUUUAACCCUAAGCGUAGUAAUUCUCCUCGCUAUAGGGCUUAGAUAUGCACUUGCCCAGAACUAUUAAUUUCUUAAGGUUAACCUCGGAUCAGGUAGGGAUACCCGCUGAACUUAA
This 240-nucleotide unclassified non-coding RNA is filed under the name uncultured fungus. Its description in RNAcentral is "sequence contains ITS2". The record is from RNAcentral. Lineage: Eukaryota; Fungi.